GCUGACACCACGCCGACCUGGCAUCCUAGUCAGUACUCACGUUUACCGGAUCGACUAGCUUAAAGUAUUAGUACUAAACCGAGGGUGAACAGGUAUAUAUACCGGAGAUCUUUGUGGUUUGCAUCCGAUCCAUGCCGAUACGUCUUCGUGAUGAUUAAUCAGCAAAUCUGCCUGUUUCAAGAAAAGUAGUACGACAAUCCUAAGGAUAUCCGAGCUUGCUAGCCCGAAAUGAUUGCUCUGCCUUUGUGCUAGCUAGCUCGUGAUUUAGCAAUGGAUCUUAAGAUUGUUUAACUUGAAUAAUUUUGUUCGUUCACUUGAUGUUGAAAUAUUCUUCAAGAUUGCCACUUUUUGUAAGAGAAAAUAGUGAGGUACUCCCUCCAUUUCCAAAUAUCGUAUAAAUCUUUUAAAA
RNAcentral lists this long non-coding RNA (409 nucleotides) under Hordeum vulgare. Its description in RNAcentral is "long non-coding RNA (HVUL_LNC013049)". Lineage: Eukaryota; Viridiplantae; Streptophyta; Magnoliopsida; Poales; Poaceae. The record is from RNAcentral.